AAAGAUGCUUGUUUUGUAUUGGACUAGUAUCCCAAAGGUCGCCGGUUCGAUUCCCACCGUGGUCAGGCUAACCUUUCAGCUUGCCCGGUGUAGAUAUACACUCGUAUAGAGUAACAUCAAAAACAGUAUAUUCACCUGAAUACAUAACAUCGGAACACACAAAAAAUAACACUGGAUAUAUUUUUCUCUUUAGUUAAAAGAGAGUAAAGUAAGUCUGCGGAUCUACCGAGGACAUCAAACCUCUGCCAACUCAGGACCCGUUCCGUUUUGUAACUUUGUCAAUGUCAAACUGAGUUCUAGUGUUAAACCCGGAGCUGGAGUGACAGGGAGCAUGGGGACAAUCCUUUUAGAGAACCCUAAAGGAGAUUAUUUCAUAACUUAUGAAGAAUUAAUCAAACAGGU
Paramuricea clavata is the source of this 402-nucleotide non-coding RNA. The record is from the annotation of a GenBank genome assembly. Lineage: Eukaryota; Metazoa; Cnidaria; Anthozoa; Malacalcyonacea; Plexauridae.